GGUAACUUGUGGACAUGAAGACUGUAACAGCUCAUAUAGUGUGUGUUGUCUGAUGUAGCUUCUUCUCUUGUAUUUGAUGAGAUCUGAGCUUUAAUAUCAGCACUACAUUU
Small nucleolar RNA from Papaver somniferum (opium poppy), 110 nucleotides. RefSeq annotates it as small nucleolar RNA snoR97. The record is from RefSeq and is a predicted model, not a curated record. Lineage: Eukaryota; Viridiplantae; Streptophyta; Magnoliopsida; Ranunculales; Papaveraceae. The transcript has a single exon.